Molecule: transfer RNA, 88 nt
Filed under: Hadesarchaea archaeon
Lineage: Archaea; Methanobacteriati; Hadarchaeota (SeqCode); Hadarchaeia (SeqCode)
Also listed under: 1 other name
Description: tRNA-Ser
Rfam family: tRNA
About the family: Transfer RNA (tRNA) molecules are approximately 80 nucleotides in length. Their secondary structure includes four short double-helical elements and three loops (D, anti-codon, and T loops).
Source: RNAcentral
GCCGGGGUAGCCUAGCCAGGUAUGGCGACAGGUUGCUAACCUGUUGGUCCUUUGGGCCUCCUGGGUUCAAAUCCCAGCCCCGGCGCCA